RNAcentral lists this ribosomal RNA (254 nucleotides) under uncultured bacterium. RNAcentral's name for it is "partial 16S ribosomal RNA". It matches the Rfam family "Bacterial small subunit ribosomal RNA", at positions 524 to 776 of the family's 1533-position model. The record is from RNAcentral.
UACGUAGGGGGCUAGCGUUGUCCGGAUUCAUUGGGCGUAAAGAGCUCGUAGGCGGUUCGGUUAGUCAGAUGUGAAAACUCCGGGCUCAACUCGGAGAGGCCAUCUGAUACUGCCGUGACUGGAGUUCGGUAGAGGAGUGUGGAAUUCCCGGUGUAGCGGUGAAAUGCGCAGAUAUCGGGAGGAACACCAGCGGCGAAGGCGGCACUCUGGGCCGAUACUGACGCUGAGGAGCGAAAGCGUGGGGAGCGAACAGG